GGGCCAUCAUCCUGGUCUGUAUCGUCUCCCAGGAGUAUUCCUCCGAAGAAGACUGCGAUAAAGACCUCUACAUCAGCAUCCUUGGAUACCUGGUCCUAUUGGGAUUCUCUAUUAUCAUCGAAGGGGUGAUUAUCUUCCUUAGUCUCAGAGGGACCAUUCUUUAUGUUCGACCAAGGCAUCUUAUGAAGACAGUGCUUUAUAUCAAAGGAUCUUUAAUAGGAGUCAGUUUAAUAUGGUCUAUACUCAGUAUACGAUGGCUAGCUAUGUCUUACUCAGACUGUACUCUGCAUUAUAUCAAACAAACAGUAUUAGGCCUUAUUAUAUUCCAUUUUAUAGUACUUUUAGCCCUCUGUGUUCUAACUUGGUGUGUGUGGGAUGGAGUGGGGAAGAGCUUCGUCAAAUUAAAAAAGACAGAGAAGGAGAAAAACAUCAAAAGAACGGCGAGCAGGGUCGAGAGAAACGAACAGAGGGAGCUGUAAGUAUAAUGAUAAUAUUACACAUCAUCUAGGGCAACAGUAUAUACCCUGUAUUGUUAAACCAACAAUAUUGAUGUUUACAUGAUUUCCUACCGGGUACCCAUUCAACACCUGGGUGGAGAGUGGCCAAGUGUGAAUCGAUGCCUUGAUGCCAAAGGAUGUUUGUGUGUUGAAGGGAUGUGAUCACAUGACCCUCUGAUUCACAAGAUUCUUUUGAACAAUCCCUUUUUUCAGAAUACGUUUAACAUACCGUUGAAUGUUUUAUAUUGUAUUGUAACUCAGUUAUUUGGAAUCCUUUUAAAAUCAUUACUUUUUCUUUCAUUUUAUGGGUUCAUUACUUAUUGUUCUUGUAUGUGCUAUUUUGCACAUUAUUUAGGUCCAUAUUUUUAUUUAUAUUUACUACAUUUUCGGAGCAAUAGUAACCGUCUUUUUGUGAAAUGAUGCAUUCAAAGACUAUGUUCAUAUCUACUUCUGAUGUGUGUCUGAUUUUUUUCAAAUUUUUUUUUUAUCAAAUCCUGAUUCGUCUUAUACUCAAACAUUGUCUAAAGAAAGGUUCUUAUCAUUGUGCAUGUGCAUACAAUUUUACACAGAUGGUUAUAAUCAUGAUCUUUCAAAGAAAAUAAAAAUCCCAUGUAGUUACUAGUUUCAUAUCUUCUUGUGAUCAAAUUUUACAGAUACAUGUAUGUGUAAAAAGAACCUUAAAUAAUCAAACGUGAUUUCACAAGCAUCAUACAUGUAUGAUAGUGCCAGCUGAAAGUUGCCAAAACUGUUUUUCUAUUUCGUAUGAAUGUGCACAUCAUGAAUAAGUCAUUUUAAGUUCAUAUACCCUUUUUACCUCAUUUACAGAAGCUAUUUUGAGACAUUUUUUGUAUAUGCAUCAGGGAUAUAAUAAUACAAUCUGUAUUAAAGUAACCUAACAUCCACAUUCCAUAACACAGUAAGUGGUCCGUGUGGUUUACCACGUGAACACAGCAUGGUGUGGCUAUGAUGUGGUGAGCCAUGGACUUGACUGUUAAAGUUUUGAUCAACAUUUUCUUUGAAUUAAACAGGAAAUGUUUUAUCACCAUUGUUGCGUCAAAACCAUAAGUUUAUAAAAAAGCAGUGUAAUAAGCAGUACGAUUAGGAAAUCAAAUUUCAUGGCUGCCGUGGAUGAAGCACAAAGAAUUGUCUUCUUUGACAUGAAAACGUGCUUUAUUUUGAGAUGCAGAGAGCUCGGAUCAGGACUAGAUAUCUCAUCACACUAUAGCUGGAACUUUUAGCAAAAAAUAUGAUUUCGGUCAAUAUUUGAAAUACAUGAAUUUAGCUCUGUCAUUGAUAAUAUAGUGCUUGGGAGAAAAAUAUAAUUUUUUAACAGAAAGAACAUAUUUUUCUCCUUUUUUAUCCAAGUAGAGAGAAUUUCCCCCGACUUUGGUCAUAUGAGUCAGAACAAUACAUAUAUUUCAAUCAUUUGAUGAUAUGGGAUGCCUCUAACUAUACAAAAGUGCAUGGGAGGAAUCAGAAUCUCAGAGUUUACUUCAAUGACUUCUCUUUCUUUUCUUGUAACAUAUUGGUAUUAAAACAAGUUGACAAUUACUUAUAAUUUUAUUAAUAGGGAAACUAUAAAUUUCAAGCUCUGCUUUUUAAUAAUUUGCCCCUUCAUACCCUCAUCUUAUUGAUAUAUCUGUCUCCAGUCUGAACGUUUAAUUGUAUAACAUUUGUCUUAUUCAUUAUGAAUAAUGGUGAUGUAUUGUAUUAUUUUAUCAUUAAUGGUUUACUGUCUUUUGAUAGAUCUUACAUUGUAUUUGAUAUUUUGUGAGAUAUGAAUAUAUACCAAACUGAAACUGAAAUGACGGAACAAAAAUCUUUAGAUAUGCCACAUAGUGGAUUUUUUAUUGACUAUUCACAAUGAAAUUCCUUAUCCUGAACCCGGUUUUAAUUUGAAAUUUGCUCAAAAUUUAAUUGCCCCUUUCCUCUUUAUUUUCUUUUAUUUAUCCCAUCUUAGUUUAAAAGUAGACUUUCAGUUGAGCUGUUAAACAAGGGUAUUGAAAUACAUUGUAUUAACCCGUCAAUUUCUGCUAACAACGUGGACCACAUCUACUUGAUCUGGAAGUUUAAAAGCAAUUAUCUUCUCCACAUGGAACGCCCGCUGGGCCGUGGACUGGAUGACAUUUUAAUGGGACAUCAGAACUGGCUAUUAAUAUCUUGAUGGUCUUGACUGAACACUGACCCAAGCUGUGAACUUUUAUUCUUUUUCUAUCAAUGGUCAGUUGGUCAUGAUACACACAUAACGGGUGAUUUGAAAACCAUUUUAUUUUGCACCACUUCGUAUCAAACAGUUGCAAAAUUUCAAGCAAGUGCUCACCAAAUUAUUCAAUUUCAUUUCAAGAACAUGGUAAAAUUCUUGAGCAUUUACUUAAUUUUCUUAGGGCAUGCUUUUUAAACUUUGAGCAUAUUUUUGUGGCCCCAGUUGUUGCCCUCCCCUAACCCAAAUUGCAGAGGGAUUUGCAAUCAAGCUUGCGUUGAUUUUCAGCUAGAAAUUUAUGCUUGAUUUCUUAGUUGCAAUUAAAUAAAGAUCUAGUGGAUGCCUGAUGAGGAAAAUUGCCCUGCCUUUUUUUUAUAUUUAUAAAUAAUCUAAUAGAAUGUGCUCAUUUUUUCUUAUCAUUCGUAAAUAGCUUGUAUGUCAUCAUGAAACUACUACACUCUACUUUUUCACCAUGGAAACCUUCAGAAGUUACAUUCAUUUUCUUUCCACUUCAAAUCUAUUAUGAUCGUAGAAAUCUUCAAUGAAUAAACCAGAAAACAGAAUGACAAGGCUUUCAUGUUUGCUUGCAAGAGUUGUUCGAAUUCUGUCUUCAAAAUUGCCCUCAGCCAUUGAGCGUUAUGAGCUUCCAUUCAGGAUCGUCUUUAUGAACCUGUCAC
Lytechinus pictus (painted urchin) is the source of this 3374-nucleotide long non-coding RNA. RefSeq lists it as uncharacterized. The transcript is spliced from 3 exons. Lineage: Eukaryota; Metazoa; Echinodermata; Echinoidea; Temnopleuroida; Toxopneustidae. The record is from RefSeq and is a predicted model, not a curated record.